RNAcentral lists this unclassified non-coding RNA (308 nucleotides) under Hevea brasiliensis (rubber tree). The record is from RNAcentral. Lineage: Eukaryota; Viridiplantae; Streptophyta; Magnoliopsida; Malpighiales; Euphorbiaceae.
CCAAAUGAGGAUAUUUUGCAGGUAUUGAUUUCAAUAAUCAUUACUAUAUAUAAAUAUUAUUCCACAUUGCCCAACCAUGCCAAAGAUCAUUUCAUUUUAUAUCAUGUAAGCACCAUGUCCUUACGCAUAAGUUGGUAAAAGAAAUCAUGCCUAAUACUUGGGCUAGUGCUGUACCAGGAUUUACAUAGCCCUUGUACUUGCUUUUCUUCAUUAUUUUUUUUUCCAGAUAUAAUAAAGGUUAUUUUCUUAUGCUGACAUGCUUUCAUUUACAAUGGUCAUGUGAAUUGCUGAAGUUCAUUGCAUUGCAG